UCUGACCAUUUAGAAAGGAAAUGUUGUGAAGUAAACUUGUAGUGUUUGAUGCCCUUGAUCUUGUGUCAUGUGCAUGUAUGAAUUUAUUGCAUAAAAGUAAUAAAGCAUUGCAAAUCAUUUUGUUUACCUGAUGCCAUCAUCAUCAUUCGCUUGAGUCACAGGUGGUUUAAGAGUUACAAGAAAGGUAUUAAUUAAAAGCUGAGGAAAUGGUCAGUCAUAUUUUGGUAAAUUAAAUGUAAUAUUCAAUUAUCUCUGAAUAUAAGCUUUCAAAAAUUAGCAUUAGCAUUUUCUUGAUACAUUAUGAACUUGAUGCAUUUGAGUUAUUUAUUUUUAUGAUAACUACACUGUAGUAUCAAAUUUUUUGCUUAUAAUGAUGCAUUCAAAGUAAUUUCCCUUCAAAUUCAAAAUGUCAAAUUUGAAAUACAUAUAUGUACAUGCUGACUUGUUUGAAGAUUUGCUUCAAUUUUGAUUGGAAAAUUAUAGUUGUUACCAUUCUGUAAUAUUCCUUUAUUUUCACUUAAGAGCCUUUCAAUCUCAUGAUAAUUUAUAUUUUAUAAGGCAUGUGGUAAAUUGCCACUUUGUCCACAUCCACUUGGUCCACUUUCCAUUUGGUCUAAUGGUCUAAUUGUAGUAUGUAUACAACCCAUUUAGCCCAUUUAUACUUUAUCUAAUUCCAAGUUAGGUUAUGUCCAUUCCAUCUAAUAUCCACUUGGUCAAACAUCACCUAGUCCAUAUGAUAAAUGAACUGCCCUUUUAAACAAAUUUUCAUUUGACAAAGUGCAAACUGAUAAGUAGAUGAAGUGAAAAAUAGGCCAUGCAGGCAUCAGUCUAAGUUACAUUCAGGCCAAGUGAUGGUUUGACAAAAUUAAUAGACCAAGUUAGUUGUAGACCAAUUUGGUUAAGCUAUGAGACAGUCUGAGAAUUAGACAAUCUGCUAGUAGACAAAGUGGAUAUAACCAACAGGGGCCGCGGAAGCGGGGGGUUGGGGGGCUUCAGCUCCCCCACUUUUUUCAAAAACCGUGUACGAAAACGUAAAAACGACCAUAUGAUUGUGAAUUUUUGCAUGGUCAGCCCCCCACUUUUGGCUCAGCCCCCCCCCCCCCACUUUGAAAACCGUUCCGCGGCCCCUGACCAAGGCAUGUUGUGUAUCAGUUUUAUGUGAUCACUCUUCCAUUUUCUCUCCUUUUUUUUUGGCACUGCUUUUUAUCAUAUCACAGGAGCCUCCAGAAACGGAAAUAGGGAGUGCUCUCUCUCUCUUGGUCAAACUUUCAUUUCCUUCAUAGUGCCCUGAAGAAAUAAUAACGCAAGUGGAGAUAUUCUACAAAGAUAUGAGAUCUCUCAACUCUGCAUAUCAUAUUACAUGAUAUUACUAGAACCUGUUCCUUAAUAUAACAACUGUAUUUAAUACAUCUCCUGUGCUUGAGCAAACCAGUGGCUUGUUAAUUGACAUAUACAUUGCAUCCCACAAAAAAAGGAAACCCUUUUUCACUCGAGAUAGAUUUCACAACUAUUAAAUAUGUCUUUACUAUGAAUUUGCUACUUAUGGCAAGAUUGGAAUCUCAUCUCUAAUUUGAGACCAACAGCUUAGCAAAUCAUUCACGCAUGGCAGAUUGCAAACAAUAUUAAUAUUGAGGCAUAUUAGAAAUGAUUUGCGCAGAAAUUUCAUGUGUUAUUCUGAAUCCACUCUCAUUUCAGAGAUCAGUGAUAGAAACUUAAUAAAGAAACUUAACAAAAGAAAUGCUGAAGAGUCACUCGUCGAAUAAGCAUGGUUGUCAUAUCAUGAACCCAUCUUGUCCAAUUUUUUCUGCGCAACCUGGAUUUGACAUUGAAAUUUCUAACUCGUCUUGCUCAUUAAUUCGUAAAAUGUUUGUCUCAUAUUAGGUAUAAAUUUAAAGAGGAAUAGUUGAAGUAAAUGAUUAUGUAAAUAAAAUAUCAUAAUUUAUUUGCCUUUGAAGAAAUAAUGAGAUGGGAAUCCUGGUUUCCUUUUUACAACAUAAAAUGCAGGAAAUAGCCAUUGAUAUGGUAAAGAUAGCUUUUUGGGUGAUUAUCUUAUUAUUUUAAUCAAAUAGGAAAUGUAGGUGCUUGAUAUCUGUGCAAUAGUUUUAGCUGUGUAAAUUUACUUCUGCCAGCUGAUAUUCCUUCAGUAAAUGAGCAUACGUUUUGCCAGAAUUAUAGAAGGAGGUAUUAUUGAUGAUUUAUGAAUUUAUCUUUUCUUAGUGAACAAGAAAAUUGUACAGGCAUGUAUGCAAAGAUCUUAUGCUACUGCCAAAUGUAUAGCUGUGUAGAAAAUUAUGAUUAGAUGAAAUUCAUGUGAUAUUGUAUGCUAAAUAACAUGAAAAGGUGUCUUUUAUGUUGGAAAUCUGAGGAUAUGGAAAUAUCAAGACCCAACAUUCUUUCUAGAACAUUUAACCCAUCAAAAUAAGCUUCACUUUAAACCAUUGUAAUAUACUUGUGCUAAGUUGUACUUGUAUUAUUUGUAAUAAUGUUAUUUAUGCAUGAUGAAUAUUGUUAUUUUUUGUAUUAUGUCAGGAAAUUUCAUUGCACCAAACUUAAAGAAAAGGAGGUGAAAGUGGUGUCUUCUCUUAGUUUUAUUUUAUUAUAAUCAAUGUAAUGAAAUAUUGAGAUAUAUUCCAGGAAUAUUUACUUGAUAGUAUUAUGAACAUGAAGGUUUCAGGAGAAAGGUAGCUAACUAAAGAGUAUUAAGAUGUUUCUCUUUACCACACCCGCCCCCCUUCUCUGAGCUAAAGGGAAAAAAAGAUAUUUUAACAUUUUUUACAUGGGGAACCCUAUUAUAAUAUGACAAAAUAAGGUAAAUUGUGAACCACUUUGUCUAUUUGCCAUUUCAUGUCACAUGGUCUCAUAUACAACCUUUUACUGCCAAUGUGGUCAAGUAAAGGUGUGGAUUUAGCUAGAUUAGACAUGAAUAGUUUUGAAAGUUUGCAAAAACAAUAUGGCCCCUAAAAUGGUGUAAUGUUCAACCUGGCUAGAUCUGUCACAGGUCAUAUUGCCAGUGAGGACAUUAUCCACUUUGUAAAAUUGUUAUACCCAUUGUGUAUCCCCUUGGUCUAACAAAUUAUGAUAUGAUGAAAUAUUUAUUUGACGAAGUACGUAGGAGACAAAGUGUGAAUGAUACGUACCAUCUGGACAUGAGACCGAGUGAUGGUUAGACCAAAUGGUAAUUAGACCAAGUCACUGGCCUAAGUCCAAGUGACGGACCUUUUGUUCGGGUGAGGGGUGGGGAUGAUCUAGUAUUUCAUCCCCCUACUUGAAGAGUAUGACGUUACUAAUUUACGCCAAUGGAUGAAGUGGUUACAAACCCUGAUUACUGUUCCCAAGUUCCCCUUAUAUUUUUACGGGCAAGGACAUUUUGUUUUCUUUGCCAAGAACAAUAUUUUGGAAAAUAAAAGUCAAAAAAGUAAUUUUAAUUUGUGAGAAGGAAAGGAAUGUGGUACAUUUUAGUGUUGUAAAUAUCUACAUUUUGUAAAAACAAAGUACAGAAAACAUAUAUUUAUUACAAAGCAUUGUUUAUCAUUGGCUUAGUAUGUAUUGGAUUAAUAGUUAACAUUAAAAGGAUCAAAGAAGCAGUGUAGAUUUUUGUCUUUCAUGAAAGAUUAGAAGUUUGUAUUUGCAAUUCAAUUAAAAAGUCAAAUUAGCACCUACUCCUUUAUGACAAAUAUUCAGUUAUCGAAUAUCAUACUAUCUUGAAAAUAAAGAAAUUUAUUUGUUUUAAAGGUAUACAGAGAGCCAAGUUGGCUCAGUCGGUAAAGUGUGCCUGUCGAAGCAAAGAUCGUGGGUUUGAGUCCACCCCGGGCGGAUGACUGAAGCCAGUGCGUUGUGUGAUUAUGCCUCUCCCCAGUUUCAUAGAUGCAUGCUACGUUACAGUGGAAAACACUCCGUCCCUCAGAUAGGACGUUAAAUGGAGGCCCCGUGGAGAGGAGAGCCACCACCUUUGCACGUUAAGAACCCACUGCACUGAUUCGAAUAAGAGUAGGGGGAAACCCGGUGUAGUGGUCUACCUGCAUUCCCCCAACCAGUUAUAUCAGGAGGAGAGACCUGCGGGUCACAGUUCUGUGUGCGCGCACUUCUAGGCGACCCAGAUUGGCUGGCUCCAAAAAAGCGCCUUUGAAUGUCUUUGACAGAUAUAUGGCGCUAUACAAAUGCUGUGCAUCAUCAUCAUCAUUUUCAAGUACAUGUAUUCUCAUAUUAUAUCAUUCACGUUGUAAUGAAGAGUAUGGUUGUCAGUCUUCUUGAAUAUAUUUUUGAGAAGCAAAAAAAAAAUGGAUUUAAAAGAAAUGAUAUACAUGUGGUGGUAUAAUUUGUAGAAUAUUUUCUUAAUAUAUAUUUGCAUGUUUUUUAUCACAUGUUUUGUGUAUUAUUCGAUUCUUUUAGUAUGUUAUCCAAUGCAACAGUAAUAACUUUGUGUUGACUUGUUCUCAAACCAAUAUUUUUUUAGGCAUAUACUAAAGUGAUAUCUCGAAACAUGUAAUGAUACAUGAAAUAUUGGUAGUUUAGUGUCAUUUCUGAUUACCGGUAAAAUGACAUUUUUUAAUAUUUGGUAAUGCAAGCUUGCAUAGGUUUUAUAUUUGACAUGUGCUCAAAAAUUUUAAUGAUUAAUAAAAUAAAAAAUCUAAUGAUAUAUUGUAUUUAAUGAAUAAGGUAGAGUUUGUCUAUAAGAAGCUGCUAAAAUCACAUCAUUUUCACCUUGCUGAGUGAGUUGAAUGUUUCUGAACAUAACGGUCAAUUGAUACAUGUAUUUAUCUGAAAGAAAUGAUGUACGUGUUUAUUUAUGUAUCCAAUAUUUAAAAUGAAAGUAUUCAAUCUAUACAAAGUAUAACAUUAUAUAGCUGUUUUAACUGAAUCAUGACAAUUUUACUCUGAUGAAUUUUUCUUUUUUAUCAUGUAAUAGAUUUAUACCAGGUUAAUAAUUCCAAACUCUUGCCAGUUUGAUAGACUUUUAAUCAACGCCCCUCAUGAGGAUAUUUUUAAAAGUAGCUCUUGGAAAUAAUUAGGAAAAUGAUAUACUACUAGGAAACUAGUAAUUAUGUUCAUCUAUUUGCAGCACUAUAAAUGCCAUGGUAUGAUCGUUUUGUAUACCCCCUUUGUAGAACUUUCAUUCUUUGCAGUUUGUCCUUAAUUUCCUUGCACAAAUGUGUUUUAAUUUUCAUUUGUAAUGAAUAUAAAUUUAAUUAUUCAUCAGUGUCAAUUGUUUCAUACAUUGUGUACCUGUUAAUAAAUGUUGAUACUCUUUCAUGUUA
Molecule: long non-coding RNA, 5255 nt
Organism: Lytechinus pictus (painted urchin)
Lineage: Eukaryota; Metazoa; Echinodermata; Echinoidea; Temnopleuroida; Toxopneustidae
Exons: 2
Source: RefSeq, a predicted model, not a curated record